RNAcentral lists this transfer RNA (69 nucleotides) under Mytilus edulis (blue mussel). RNAcentral's name for it is "tRNA-Met". It matches the Rfam family "tRNA". From Rfam's summary of the family: Transfer RNA (tRNA) molecules are approximately 80 nucleotides in length. Their secondary structure includes four short double-helical elements and three loops (D, anti-codon, and T loops). The record is from RNAcentral. Lineage: Eukaryota; Metazoa; Mollusca; Bivalvia; Mytilida; Mytilidae. RNAcentral also lists the same sequence under 4 other names.
GGUAAAGUGGUCUAAUAUUAGGAUAUAGGGCUCAUGCCCCUAAGGCGCCACGCGUAAUGGCCUUUAUCU